Equus caballus (horse) is the source of this 1713-nucleotide long non-coding RNA. RefSeq lists it as uncharacterized. The record is from RefSeq and is a predicted model, not a curated record. NCBI's taxonomy places the organism in Eukaryota, Metazoa, Chordata, Mammalia, Perissodactyla, Equidae.
AGUUUUCCAUGAACACUCAGACCAAGAAAAAUUUCCCUUUCCUGUAUCCCUAUGGAACCCAGAUCAUAUCACAUAGAUCCAUACCAUAUUAUAUUGAAACCAUCCUUGUAUGUAUCUGAUUUCUCAAUAAACUGUAAACUCUUAAGGAGAAAGGAUUAUAUUUUUGUCUAACCACAGUACUAGGCAAAGAGCCUAGAAAAAGCAAAUGCUCCUUAGAAUUCUGUUAAAUUGAAUGGAACAAAGUUGAAUUCAGUGAGAAUGGAGAUAUUGUGAUCACCCAAAUCUCAAAGAAGAGGAAACUGAGGCUCAGAGAAGUUACAGAGCAAAUCAACCACAGUCUUGGAGCUUGUAAGUGAUGGAGCUGUGCUCAGAAGCCAGCUUCUCUUAUUCCAAAGCCUAUGCUAUUUUAAUAUAGUAGAUGCCUCUGUGAAACAGGAUAUCUUACUAUUCUCUUUAUUUGCAGGAUUUUUCACUCUAAUCUUAAAGUCACUUAGCCAGUUUGCAAUCAGUGUCCUUAUCUAUAACUCAAUGAUAAAAACAGCAAGGCUAAAUGACAGCUGCCAAGAUAAAGGGGUAAAUUGCCAAUUCUCAGGUUGGACUUGUUCUAGAAUAUUAGUGUUGUCAUGCAGAUAAAUAAAAAGUACCCGCCUGUAGAAAAGUCCAUCUCAACUUGUCAAAGUUAAAAAAUUAUCCAAAUCCAAAAACUUCCCCAGAGCUAACCAGAUAUCUCAUGACUCUCUGGCCCUGCAAACAGCAAAAUUUCUCAGCAGCUGCAAAAAAAGAGAGGAACCCAUUGGUGCAGCUGAGCAGAGGGUUACAAAUGGAUUCAUCAGGGGAAAAUGCUAAAAUGCCCACAGGUGUGAGAGGACCCAUACGUUCAGUCUACUCAAGAAUCCACUGGAAAAAAAAUUAAGUUCUCAGAGCAGAGGCAGCCUGCACCCACUCCACAGAUGAUGAAAGAGUGAGAGGAGGCACCCAUGCCUAAUUACAUUAUGGUACUUUCCACAGUGCUGCAUCUGGAGUGAUUUCUCAAGUGUAAAGAUAACAGAAAGUGUGAGAUAAGGAGGGAGGCUGGGCUGCCUCAUUAUGAUGUCACAGAUGUCUUGUGGAACAAUGGGCCCUCAGAAGUGCCUUAUGCUGAGCUUUUUGAGAUAUCACAACAAACUUACAUGAAAAACCCUGGGUACUCCAGCAGGCGUUGACCGAAGAGAAUGAUUCCAUGUUGUUCUUUAUUUCCUUUCCCACACUUACUCUCUGAUCUUUCUUUCAAACAGUUGUCUUGUGCCUGCUCUGGGAAAUGGACUGCGCCAGGUGCCCGUGUUACAAAACUGAAUAGACAGAGUCUGUGUUUUCAAGGAUCUCACCAUCCUGCCAGGGAGGCCAACAUACACAUGACCACAAUAAAGUGUGACAACAAUUGUGAUGAGGUGAUCAACAAAGCACAAGUUGAAAAGUGUGAAAAGAGGACACAAGAGUCUCUCCUAUACAUGGAGAAGGGGGAUGAGUUAGGAAAGAUUUUAGAAAAGGAGUAACAUAUCCUGGGCCUAGAAGGAUAUGAAAAUAGAAGAGAAAAAAUGAAGAGAAGGCAAACUGGUCAGAAGAAACAGUACAAGCAAGGAACAGAGAGGUAAAAAUCCACAGUGUAGAUCAGAAGUGGAGAAUAAUAAAUGCCCUUAUGGAGAACUCAUAAAGUGCCAUACAUUAUACAAAGAA